Molecule: long non-coding RNA, 1646 nt
Organism: Esox lucius (northern pike)
Lineage: Eukaryota; Metazoa; Chordata; Actinopteri; Esociformes; Esocidae
Exons: 3
Source: RefSeq, a predicted model, not a curated record
AGGCAUAAUUACCACCUGGGAGCAGCGAGGAGCAGAACAGAGCACGUGGAGGGAGACGAGGAAACACACACACACACUCACACACACACGCUGAGCGCAUGGAGGGAGACCUGCUGAGGAAUUAUAUCCCCCGUGGUUUUAUUCUUUAUUUAUCAAGUGCCGUGAACACAGACGAGGUGCAGAGCGGAACUGAAGUGCAUGGCUGCCGAAGACAUUGUUCAAAUGUAUACCAGAGGGGUUGUUAAAGGAAUGUAAAAGGUUGGCAGUAAGUUGAAGCAAUAGUUUUGUUUGGUUGAGGGAUUAGACGUCCGGUUAAGAGGGAAACACACGGUCGCGGACAAUUUGCAGCACACGUUUCAAUUUCCGAGCUCCGCGGCCCGGGGGGAGUUGGACAGACGUGGACCCCCUGGUUCGGAGACCUCCCCCUGGGUCAGAGCUGGUUUGAAGAAGGGCCUGAGGGAAAGUGGAUGGUCAUCAACAGACCGACCCAGCUGAGUUUAAUCUAGCAUCUUGGACUUGAACGGGCAAAACCGCAGAAUGGCCAGGAAGAGAGGAUAGUGCAUGGGAUGUGCCUACAGCAGAUAAGAAUAGCUUUGGCUAACUUCUCCAGGCCUGUAGACAUCUUGUUAUGCUGAAGUACGCAGAACAUCUGUGAUUUCUACGACAGUUUGGCAAUGAGGAUUGGACGGCUAGAGGUCUGGUUCAAUCUUUGGAUGGCUAAUGGUGUGGUUCAGGGAGCCCGAUUCACCAUGCUGAACAUAAAGAACUCAAGGGUGAGACUUAUUUGAUCGAGGAUAUAUGUGUAGACAAGAGAAUUGCUAUGAUAUGGCAUAAAUCUAUACAUGAAAGAUAAUGAAAACUGAACUAAAAUGAAAACUGAACUAAAAUGAAAACUGAACUAUUUUUGUUAAAAAACCAAAAUAUUAAAACAUUUAAAAAGAUAGUAGAGUAGCAAAUCCAACUGUAUAGUUUGGUGUACAGAUAUAGAGAAGUGUCCCUCAUGAACUAAAGCUCUUUUUUGUGUGUUAUCAUCUGUUUUGAGUACAAGUGACGGGGGAGCAGAUACACCAUGGGGACAGUCUGCAGUAAGAACAGAUACACCAUGGUGACGGUCUGCAGUAAGAACGGAUACACCAUGGGGACGGGCAGCAGUAAGAACGGAUACACCAUGGGGACGGCCAGCAGUAAGAACAGAUACACCAAGGGGCCGGGCAGCAAUAAGAAGAACGCCUGCCUGCCGGAUCCACUGAUCGGACCAGUAAAGAUAAUGGUGGUUAAGUGGGGCACGGAUGUCUCAGUGGGAUUGUGGCACAUAGUAUUUGAUUUUCUACUAAAAGGAACAUUUAGCGAGGUUAAGUUAAAAGAAUGUAGAUGGAAUUUGGAAAGAGUAAGAAUGGAUAGAAAAAAGGUUCCCUUUAUUAUUUGUCUGGUUAAUGUUAUCAUUUUUUUGCUUAAUAUGUGAGAGUAUAUCUUUUCAUGGCAACAUAUUAGCAUCACACAUGGGAUGUUUUGAAGUAUUAAGUAUGUGCAUCAUUUUGCACGGCAUGUCACAAAAAUGCAUUACUGAUGAGUCACAACGAUUAUUCCAGAUCUCAGUACUCUGCCCGCAUUCAGUCAGACUUCUCCCUCCUUUUCCUUUAUCACUC